This 484-nucleotide ribosomal RNA is filed under the name uncultured bacterium. RNAcentral's name for it is "partial 16S ribosomal RNA". It matches the Rfam family "Bacterial small subunit ribosomal RNA", at positions 30 to 507 of the family's 1533-position model. The record is from RNAcentral.
AUUGAACGCUGGCGGCAGGCCUAACACAUGCAAGUCGAGCGGAUGAAGGGAGCUUGCUCCUGGAUUCAGCGGCGGACGGGUGAGUAAUGCCUAGGAAUCUGCCUGGUAGUGGGGGAUAACGUCCGGAAACGGGCGCUAAUACCGCAUACGUCCUGAGGGAGAAAGUGGGGGAUCUUCGGACCUCACGCUAUCAGAUGAGCCUAGGUCGGAUUAGCUAGUUGGUGGGGUAAAGGCCUACCAAGGCGACGAUCCGUAACUGGUCUGAGAGGAGGAUCAGUCACACUGGAACUGAGACACGGUCCAGACCCCUACGGGAGGGAGCAGUGGGGAAUAUGGGACAAUGGGCGAAAGCCUGAUCCAGCCAUGCCGCGUGUGUGAAGAAGGGCUUCGGAUUGUAAAGCACUUUAAGUUGGGAGGAAGGGCAGUAAGUUAAUACCUUGCUGUGUUGACGUUACCAACAGAAUAAGCACCGGCUAACUUCGUG